ACGUAGGCACCAAGCGUUAUCCGGAUUUAUUGGGCGUAAAGAGCUCGUAGGCGGUUCAGUCAGUCGGGUGUGAAAACUUGAGGCUUAACCUCAAGAGGUCACCCGAUACUACUGUGACUAGAGUGCGGUAGGGGAGCGGGGAAUUCCUGGUGUAGCGGUGAAAUGCGCAGAUAUCAGGAGGAACACCAGUGGCGAAGGCGCCGCUCUGGGCCGUAACUGACGCUGAGGAGCGAAAGCAUGGGUAGCAAACAGGAUUAGAUACCCUGGUAGUCCAUGCCGUAAACGUUGGGCACUAGGUGUGGGUCUCAACCAACGAGAUCCGCGCCGUCGCUAACGCAUUAAGUGCCCCGCCUGGGGAGUACGGUCGCAAGACUA
RNAcentral lists this ribosomal RNA (375 nucleotides) under uncultured bacterium. RNAcentral's name for it is "bacterial SSU rRNA". It matches the Rfam family "Bacterial small subunit ribosomal RNA", at positions 525 to 896 of the family's 1533-position model. The record is from RNAcentral.